UACAGAGGAGCCAAGCGUUGUCCGGAUUGACUGGGCGUAAAGCGCACGCAGGCGGUCGGGCGCGUGGGGUGUGAAAUCUGGCCGCUUAACGGCCAGGCGCCAUCCCAUACGGCCGGACUGGAGUGAUGCAGAGGUCGGUGGAAUUGCCGGUGUAGUGGUGAAAUGCGUAGAUAUGUGGAGGAACACCGAUGGCGAAGGCAGCCCCCUGGGAUGUGACUGACGCUCAUGUACGAAAGCGUGGGGAGCAAACAGG
Molecule: ribosomal RNA, 253 nt
Filed under: uncultured bacterium
Lineage: Bacteria
Description: partial 16S ribosomal RNA
Rfam family: Bacterial small subunit ribosomal RNA
Source: RNAcentral